RNAcentral lists this ribosomal RNA (513 nucleotides) under swine fecal bacterium FPC76. RNAcentral describes it as "bacterial SSU rRNA". It matches the Rfam family "Bacterial small subunit ribosomal RNA", at positions 7 to 488 of the family's 1533-position model. The record is from RNAcentral.
GAGAGUUUGAUCCUGGCUCAGGACGAACGCUGGCGGCGUGCCUAAUACAUGCAAGUCGAACGAAGCUUUCUUUCACCGAAUGCUUGCAUUCACCGAAAGAAGCUUAGUGGCGAACGGGUGAGUAACACGUAGGCAACCUGCCCAAAAGAGGGGGAUAACACUUGGAAACAGGUGCUAAUACCGCAUAACCAUGGACAUCGCAUGAUGUUCAUGUAAAAGACGGCUUUUGCUGUCACUUUUGGAUGGGCCUGCGGCGUAUUAACUUGUUGGUGGGGUAACGGCCUACCAAGGUGAUGAUACGUAGCCGAACUGAGAGGUUGAUCGGCCACAUUGGGACUGAGACACGGCCCAAACUCCUACGGGAGGCAGCAGUAGGGAAUCUUCCACAAUGGACGAAAGUCUGAUGGAGCAACGCCGCGUGAAUGAAGAAGGCCUUCGGGUCGUAAAAUUCUGUUGUCAGAGAAGAACAUGCGUGAGAGUAACUGUUCACGUAUUGACGGUAUCUGACCAGAA